This 459-nucleotide ribosomal RNA is filed under the name uncultured bacterium. Its description in RNAcentral is "partial 16S ribosomal RNA". It matches the Rfam family "Bacterial small subunit ribosomal RNA", at positions 338 to 795 of the family's 1533-position model. The record is from RNAcentral.
CCUACGGGAGGCAGCAGUGAGGAAUAUUGGUCAAUGGGCGGAAGCCUGAACCAGCCAAGUAGCGUGCAGGAUGACGGCCCUACGGGUUGUAAACUGCUUUUAUACGGGAAUAACGCGCCUUACGUGUAGGGCUUUGCAUGUACCGUAUGAAUAAGCGCCGGCUAAUUCCGUGCCAGCAGCCGCGGUAAUACGGAAGGCCCGAGCGUUAUCCGGAUUCAUUGGGCUUAAAGGGAGCGUAGGCGGACGAUCAAGUCAGCUGUAAAAUCGCGCGGCUCAACCGCGCCCCGCAGUUGAAACUGGGCGCCUUGAGUGCGCAAGAGGCAGGCGGAAUGCGUGGUGUAGCGGUGAAAUGCAUAGAUAUCACGAGGAACCCCGAUUGCGAAGGCAGCCUGCCGGGGUGCGACUGACGCUGAGGCUCGAAGGUGCGGGUAUCAAACAGGAUUAGAUACCCGGGUAGUC